RNAcentral lists this ribosomal RNA (253 nucleotides) under uncultured bacterium. Its description in RNAcentral is "partial 16S ribosomal RNA". It matches the Rfam family "Bacterial small subunit ribosomal RNA", at positions 524 to 776 of the family's 1533-position model. The record is from RNAcentral.
UACGAAGGGUGCAAGCGUUACUCGGAAUUACUGGGCGUAAAGCGUGCGUAGGUGGUCCGUUAAGUCUGAUGUGAAAGCCCUGGGCUCAACCUGGGAAUGGCAUUGGAUACUGGCAACCUAGAAUGUGGUAGAGGGUGGCGGAAUUCCCGGUGUAGCAGUGAAAUGCGUAGAUAUCGGGAGGAACAUCCGUGGCGAAGGCGGCCACCUGGACCAACAUUGACGCUGAGGCACGAAAGCGUGGGGAGCAAACAGG